GAGUAACGCGUGGGUAACCUGCCUUAUACAGGGGGAUAACAGUUAGAAAUGACUGCUAAUACCGCAUAAGCGCACAGGAUUGCAUGAUCUGGUGUGAAAAACUCCGGUGGUAUAAGAUGGACCCGCGUCUGAUUAGCUGGUUGGUGAGGUAACGGCUCACCAAGGCGACGAUCAGUAGCCGGCUUGAGAGAGUGAACGGCCACAUUGGGACUGAGACACGGCCCAAACUCCUACGGGAGGCAGCAUG
This 247-nucleotide ribosomal RNA is filed under the name uncultured bacterium. RNAcentral describes it as "partial 16S ribosomal RNA". It matches the Rfam family "Bacterial small subunit ribosomal RNA", at positions 108 to 353 of the family's 1533-position model. The record is from RNAcentral.